UACGUAGGGGGCAAGCGUUGUCCGGAAUUAUUGGGCGUAAAGAGCGUGUAGGCGGCCAGGUAGGUCUGCUGUGAAAACUCGAGGCUUAACCUCGAGAUGUCGGCGGAAACCAUCUGGCUAGAGUCCGGAAGAGGAGAGUGGAAUUCCUGGUGUAGCGGUGAAAUGCGCAGAUAUCAGGAAGAACACCCGUGGCGAAGGCGGCUCUCUGGGACGGUACUGACGCUGAGACGCGAAAGCGUGGGGAGCGAACAGG
This 253-nucleotide ribosomal RNA is filed under the name uncultured bacterium. RNAcentral describes it as "partial 16S ribosomal RNA". It matches the Rfam family "Bacterial small subunit ribosomal RNA", at positions 524 to 776 of the family's 1533-position model. The record is from RNAcentral.